RNAcentral lists this ribosomal RNA (268 nucleotides) under uncultured bacterium. RNAcentral describes it as "partial 16S ribosomal RNA". It matches the Rfam family "Bacterial small subunit ribosomal RNA", at positions 524 to 790 of the family's 1533-position model. The record is from RNAcentral.
UACGUAGGGUGCAAGCGUUUAAUCGGAAUUACUGGGCGUAAAGCGUGCGCAGGCGGUUAUGUAAGACAGAUGUGAAAUGCCCGGGCUUAACCUGGGAACUGCAUUUGUGACUGCAUGGCUAGAGUUUGGCAGAGGGGGGUAGAAUUCCACGUGUAGCAGUGAAAUGCGUAGAUAUGUGGAGGAACACCGAUGGCGAAGGCAGCCCCCUGGGUCAAGACUGACGCUCAUGCACGAAAGGCGUGGGGAGCAAACGAGAUAGAGUACCCGU